This 522-nucleotide ribosomal RNA is filed under the name uncultured bacterium. RNAcentral describes it as "bacterial SSU rRNA". It matches the Rfam family "Bacterial small subunit ribosomal RNA", at positions 355 to 895 of the family's 1533-position model. The record is from RNAcentral.
UGGGGAAUAUUGGACAAUGGACCAAGAGUCUGAUCCAGCAAUUCUGUGUGCACGAUGAAGUUUUUCGGAAUGUAAAGUGCUUUCAGUUGGGAAGAAAGAAAUGACGGUACCAACAGAAGAAGUGACGGCUAAAUACGUGCCAGCAGCCGCGGUAAUACGUAUGUCACGAGCGUUAUCCGGAUUUAUUGGGCGUAAAGCGCGUCUAGGUGGUUAUAUAAGUCUGAUGUGAAAAUGCAGGGCUCAACUCUGUAUUGCGUUGGAAACUGUAUAACUAGAGUACUGGAGAGGUAAGCGGAACUACAAGUGUAGAGGUGAAAUUCGUAGAUAUUUGUAGGAAUGCCGAUGGGGAAGCCAGCUUACUGGACAGAUACUGACGCUGAAGCGCGAAAGCGUGGGUAGCAAACAGGAUUAGAUACCCUGGUAGUCCACGCCGUAACGAUGAUUACUAGGUGUUGGGGGUCGAACCUCAGCGCCCAAGCAAACGCGAUAAGUAAUCCGCCUGGGGAGUACGUACGCAAGUAU